Henosepilachna vigintioctopunctata is the source of this 72-nucleotide non-coding RNA. The record is from the annotation of a GenBank genome assembly. Lineage: Eukaryota; Metazoa; Arthropoda; Insecta; Coleoptera; Coccinellidae.
GCCUCCGUUGUUUAGUUGGAAGAACACCCACUAUGGUGAGAUAGAACUCGGGUUCGAGCCUCGAUGAAGGCA